UGCAAAACAACUUCAGCUCUACGGAAAAAAAAGGGGAAAAAAAAAGAUUUUUUACUGGUAAAACGGAUUGCCGUAAUAUAAUCCAAACCGUGAACCGAUAAUCUCUAAAAGUUGGUAAAAAACUACGGAAUGCCGUUUAACCCACUUUUUUUUUUAGUCAACUAGGGUGUUGUCAACAUGUUACAAUAUAUAUACAAUAUAUUUAAAAUAUAUAUACAAUAUAUUUAAAAUAUAUAUACAAUAUAUUUACAAUAUAUAUACAAGCUUUAAGUGUAAAUAUAAAGCUUUAUAUUUACACUUUAGAAGUAUAAAAAUAUAUAAAGCUUUACAUUGGCAACACCCAACAUGCAACAUGGCAUUCGCUGCCUGGCGGCCAUUCAAAGAAAGCUUAUAUAAUGACUUCUACCAUUUUUGUUAGUCUUUUGGUUCCAUACUCUCGCAGAUGCAGUAUGUAAGUAUUCCAUUGGUCGAAUAGUUGUCUCUUUAUUUCCUCUGACUAGAUUUUCUACUUGGUAUGUAAAAGUCUACAAAUUGAUUUAGUUUAGCUUCUGACUAGAUCUGUAAAUGAAUCUUUAAAUUUCGCUUGUGUGAGUACAAAAAUACUAUUCACAACGUUGGUUGAAAUCUAUACUUGACAAGUUCAUUUACAAGAAUGUGGUUUCAAAUACGAUGUGCCCUGAUACCGUACGACACGUAAAUGUGUUCUGAUAAAAUAUUUUCCUUAUUAUUUUGGACUGCUAUGUCGGACAUCAGCGAGUUGUGAAUUGUAUUGUCGUGUCUACUCCUAGUCUGUGGUAUGUGUUAGGUAUGUCUGAUUAGAAUAUUGGUGUUGCACAUCUUGUGAUGGUGUACUUUAUCCCUUUUUAGUAUUGGUUACUUGUGUGGUAAACCCUUCAUGAAUUACAAGCUAUCUUUGAGCAUCAUAUUCAUUAAUCUUUUUGUAAGGUUUUCUUAUUUUAGGGUAUCUCAAAUUAAAGGAACUUAAUACUAAUCUCCCAAAAUUGAGACUCAAGUAUUGGGGUGGUGAGUUACAGACAUGGGUUUGAGUUAAUUGUUAACAAUUAGCAACCCAAGUUGAUCCCUUUUUUGUGUUGGUCACUCCUGUGGUAAACUCUUCAUGAAUUGCAAGUUUUAAUCCUUGAACAUCAAUGUCUUUUCUGCAAGGUUUUCUUCUUUUAGAGGAUCUCAAAUUAAAACAACUUCCUUUGAUUCUAAAAAAGUGAUUUUCAUUUACUAGAUAGGCUGGUGCUUUAAACCGGACUUCUUUUUUUGCAGAGUUCAUUGGUGUUGAAUCUUGGAUAGUUAUGGUGCAAUUCUUAGUAUUGCAGUGUUUAACAGGUUUUUCUGAUUUUGGAGGCUGCCAAAUUAAUAAGGUUAUCUUGGAUAAGUUGGGUAUGUCUUGGACAGGUCAACAACAGGAAGUUUGUUAGAGCCUGCUUUUGCUUCACUGCUUUUGAUCUCAUGAAGUACAUGACUUUGGUUAGAUAGUUUAAUUUAAUAAAGGAUCUUUCUACUUGCGCCUGUUUGCUAUGGUGCAUGUGAUUCGAUCACGUCAGAAAGUUUGGGUGUUAAUGGCGAUACGUUUUUCUUAGCUUCGAAUAUUGGGCAUCUGCAAGGUGGGAAUUGUUUGUUAUUUUAUUUCAUCAUAUUCUAUUCCUACUUUAGAUAUUCUCCAUAACUGAAGAACUGAAAUUACAUGGACGAAUUUUGUUUAUGUAUUUACUUCUCCGACAAAUUUUCUGGUUAAGACAUAGUAAAAUCAGUUGACGAGGUUACUCCCACCGUAUGUUUAAAAUACACCAAUCAAAAUAUGGCAAAGUGCUCUUAAAUCUCGUGCUUAAUUUCAUGGAUAUUUGUUAGAAACGAAAUUUGCUAGGUCAAAAAACACCAUUGACAAGAUUGAUGGUGAAUCCAAACAGGAAGUUGCCAUUUCGGUGGGAAAGAAACAUUGAUGCAAGUUAAAAGGGUGUCCGAAGUUUUCUCCUUGCUUUUUUUUUUCACAUCUGUGGUAUU
Daphnia magna is the source of this 2013-nucleotide long non-coding RNA. RefSeq lists it as uncharacterized. The record is from RefSeq and is a predicted model, not a curated record. NCBI's taxonomy places the organism in Eukaryota, Metazoa, Arthropoda, Branchiopoda, Diplostraca, Daphniidae. The transcript is spliced from 4 exons.